CAGCAGCCGCCGCGGGAAUACGAAGGGUGCAAGCGUUACUCGGAAUUACUGGGCGUAAAGCGUGCGUAGGUGGUGGUUUAAGUCCGUUGUGAAAGCCCUGGGCUCAACCUGGGAAUUGCAGUGGAUACUGGGUCACUAGAGUGUGGUAGAGGAUAGUGGAAUUUCCGGUGUAGCAGUGAAAUGCGUAGAGAUCGGAAGGAACAUCUGUGGCGAAGGCGACUAUCUGGGCCAACACUGACACUGAGGCACGAAAGCGUGGGGAGCAAACAGGAUUAGAUACCCCCGUAGUCCCUGUCUCUUAUAC
This 304-nucleotide ribosomal RNA is filed under the name uncultured bacterium. RNAcentral's name for it is "partial 16S ribosomal RNA". It matches the Rfam family "Bacterial small subunit ribosomal RNA", at positions 506 to 807 of the family's 1533-position model. The record is from RNAcentral.